UCCCUGGUGACUCAGAGGUUAAAGUGUCCGCCUGGAAUGCGGGAGACCCGGGUUCAAUCCCUGGGUCGAGAA
RNAcentral lists this transfer RNA (72 nucleotides) under Ovis aries (sheep). It matches the Rfam family "tRNA". Rfam says of the family: Transfer RNA (tRNA) molecules are approximately 80 nucleotides in length. Lineage: Eukaryota; Metazoa; Chordata; Mammalia; Artiodactyla; Bovidae. The record is from Rfam by way of RNAcentral.